Molecule: ribosomal RNA, 258 nt
Filed under: uncultured bacterium
Lineage: Bacteria
Description: partial 16S ribosomal RNA
Rfam family: Bacterial small subunit ribosomal RNA
Source: RNAcentral
UACGAGGGGGCGAGCGUUGUUCGGAAUUAUUGGGCGUAAAGGGUGCGUAGGUCGGUUCCGCAAGUCCUUGUGUGAAAUCUUCGGGCUCAACUCGAAGUCUGCACGGGAAACUGCGGGCUUGAGUGUGGGAUGAGGUGAGUGGAAUUCCCGGUGUAGCGGUGAAAUGCGUAGAUAUCGGGAGAACACCUGUGGCGAAAGCGGCUCACUGGACCAUAACUGAACGCUGAUGGCAACGAAAGCUGGGGGAGCGAAACAGGA